CAGCCGCCGCGGGAAUACCGAGGAUGCAAGCGUUAUCCGGAAUGAUUGGGCGUAAAGCGUCUGUAGGUGGCUUUUCAAGUCCGCCGUCAAAUCCCAGGGCUCAACCCUGGACAGGCGGUGGAAACUACCAAGCUGGAGUACGGUAGGGGCAGAGGGAAUUUCCGGUGGAGCGGUGAAAUGCGUAGAGAUGUGGAGGAAUACCGGUGGCGAAGGCGGCCACCUGGACAGCAACUGACGCUGAGGCGCGAAAGUGUGGGUAGCAAACAGGAUUAGAUACCCCAGUAGUCCCUGUCUCUUAUAC
This 301-nucleotide ribosomal RNA is filed under the name uncultured bacterium. RNAcentral's name for it is "partial 16S ribosomal RNA". It matches the Rfam family "Bacterial small subunit ribosomal RNA", at positions 509 to 807 of the family's 1533-position model. The record is from RNAcentral.